AGACGUUACUGCCCUCUUGCGUGCCCCGGCCACCCCCGGGCGGCUUGUAGCCGGUGCGCGGGGUGGCUGGGGCUACGUGCAGAGCUGUCGCGGAGCCGGAACAGCAGCGGUGAAGCCCCUCGGCUCGGCCGAGACCGCCGUGCCCACUGCUCGCCUCGGUUGCCGCCGCUUUAGCCGCAGCCGCUGCUGCCGCCGCCGGGGGAGAGGCAGCCUAUUGUCUUUCUCCGCGGCGAAGGUGAGGAGCUGUCUCGGCUCGGCCCGCGGGGGAGCCCCGGGAGCCGCACGGAGAUGGAGGAGGACAUCUGGACAGUGAGCAGGAGGCGCUUCGGCCCAUGCCGAACAUCCCAGGGGACCUGGAGAGCCGGGAGGCCAUGGUGGCAUUUUUCAACUCCGCUGGAGCCAAUGCCCAGGAGGAACAAAGGGUGUGCUGCCAGCCCCUGGCUCACCCAGUGGCCUCGUCCCAGAAAAAGCCAGAGGAAAGUACAUCAGCCAGGGGGCAGUGUCAGAGACGCAGCACUGGGAGAGGAGGACAUCGUCAGGCUGGCCCAGGACCAGGAGGAGAUGAAGGUGAACCUGCAGGAGCUGCGGGGCAGGUGUUGCAGCUUGUGGGAGACCACAAGGAGGGGCAUGGCAAAUUCUGACCAUUGCCCAGAACCCUGCUGAUGAGCCCACUCUAGGAGCCCCAAUAGCCCAGGAGCUUGGGUGUGCUGACGAGCAGGGUGAUCACCACUGGAUUGCUGACAGAUAGAGGACGUGGGACCGUGACUAUCACCCCUAAUCUGCAGUGGAUUUGGCUCUCGGCACUCCCAGGCUGGGAGCUGGAUACCUGCCCUGGCAGCAUGACUCAGACUGCAUGACAGUCACAGACUCGCCUCUGCUCCUGUGGUCCAGUGGCCGGACACCCCCUGGGAUGGCUCAAAGGAGUCAGGACUUGGAAGUGGGGACAUCAGGGUAGCUGAAGGAAAUCCACACACCCAGAGCAUCUCGGAGUUCAGACUCUCAGACCUGAAGUAGGCGCCCCCGGGACUGGGCUAGGAGUUGGACGGAAUGGAGGAUGGAGGACAGCGAGAAGAAAGGAAGAGAAAUGCAAAGUGUGGGCAGCCGCCAAGAGUGAAAAUAGAGGGAAGUGUCAUGCAAGUGCUGGACAGAAGGCGGCAGGUGGGACGAGCCCCACAGCCCCCUCCUCAAAAACGACCACCUCCAGGACUCAGUGAUCCCUGGGGGGCAGGCUCUGCCAGCCCUCGGCCACACGUGGCUCCGGCACCCAUGGUCCCAGUGCCUUGGAUGGAGACGGCCAGUUCUGGCGGCCAGAUGUGGUGCUCUGGAAUCCAGUCCCAUUUCCUUCCUGG
This 1349-nucleotide long non-coding RNA is filed under the name Homo sapiens (human). RNAcentral's name for it is "novel transcript". The record is from RNAcentral. Lineage: Eukaryota; Metazoa; Chordata; Mammalia; Primates; Hominidae.